AAACUGUGUUGUGGGCAUGAAUUGACAAGAUCCUUGAAAUGCUCCCAACAUUGGACGACUGUUUCAUCUUCCUUUUGAGCGAAAUUCAUGAUUGACUUCCUGAGGGU
Magnolia sinica is the source of this 107-nucleotide small nucleolar RNA. The record is from RefSeq and is a predicted model, not a curated record. NCBI's taxonomy places the organism in Eukaryota, Viridiplantae, Streptophyta, Magnoliopsida, Magnoliales, Magnoliaceae.